UACGUAGGUGGCGAGCGUUGUCCGGAUUUACUGGGCGUAAAGCGCGCGCAGGCGGUCCGGUAAGUCUCCGGUGAAAUCGCCCGGCUCAACUGGGCGGGUGCCGGGGAGACUGGCGGACUUGAGGAGCCUAGAGGCCGGUGGAACUCCCGGUGUAGUGGUGAAAUGCGUAGAGAUCGGGAAGAACACCAGUGGCGAAGGCAGUGUCCUGGGGAGUACCUGACGCUCAGGUGCGAAAGCCAGGGGAGCGAACGGG
RNAcentral lists this ribosomal RNA (253 nucleotides) under uncultured bacterium. RNAcentral describes it as "partial 16S ribosomal RNA". It matches the Rfam family "Bacterial small subunit ribosomal RNA", at positions 524 to 776 of the family's 1533-position model. The record is from RNAcentral.